GGGUUUGUUUGAGUAAAUAGGAAAUUAUUUUUUAGUAGUUUGAGCGGAAAUUUAGGGGUCUCUAGAGUGUAAUUAGUACUGAGAAGGAAAGUUUGUUUAGUUUUUUGGAAUAUUAGGUUUUUUAGUACCUUUUGUAUUAGGGGUGAUUAAUGUGGUAUUGCGUUUGUUUUUUCUCGAUGAAUAUCGGGCUAUUUUUUCUUUUUAAAUCUCGUUGUAUAGAGUGAAGUAGGAAAUUAUAGUUAUGAAAUAUUAUUCAAGUUAUUUUUUAUCUAGUUUCUUAAGAAAGCUAAUAGAUGGUAUUAUUAUUAGGACAAUAGGUAGGGAUUAGCUUAUUUAUUUUUUAUAUUGGUUUAUUUUUGUUGGUUGCUUAUUAAGUUGAUAGUGCUUAUUUUUAUGGAGUUAUUUUUGAACAAGUUGUAUGAAUUAUUUUUGGGGGUUUAUGUGAGUAUUAAGAUUGUAUUUUUAAUUUUUUUUGGUUUGAGAUAAUGAUUAUAUUAGUAAUAUUUUUUAUUGUUUUGUUUAUUUUUUGUUUGAAGUGUAGUUUUACGAUUGGAGAUUGUUUUAAAUUAGGAUUGAUGAAUUAGGCAAAGUUGAUUUCUGACUGUUUAGCAAAAACAUUGUUUUUUGUUGAGGUAAAAAAUAAGUUCUGUCCACUGCUAUUAGGUGAAGGGCUGCAGUAUUUUGACUGUAUGAAGGUAGCAUAAUCAUUAGCUUUUUAAUUGGGAGCUGGUAUGAAGGUGAAACAGGGAUUUGCUGUUUUUCUUCUAUUUUUUGAAUUUUAUUUUCAUGUGAAAAAUCAUGAUUGGGUUAAUGGGACAAGAAGACCCUAAUAAGUUUUAUUUCUUUGUUUAAUGCGUGUAUAGGUUUAUUUAUGUAAUUUAUUUGAGGUGGUUUGGCUGGGGCGGCAGUUUAUUUAACAUAAAUUAAUUUUUAACUUUAGUGGCGAAUUUUGGACCUAAUAGGUUUAGAUUAGUGUAAAAUUACUGUAGGGAUAACAGCGUGAUUUUAUUUGAGAGUUCUAAUUGACAGUAAA
This 1033-nucleotide ribosomal RNA is filed under the name Parvulodesmus stephani. Its description in RNAcentral is "partial large subunit ribosomal RNA". Lineage: Eukaryota; Metazoa; Arthropoda; Diplopoda; Polydesmida; Xystodesmidae. The record is from RNAcentral.